This 94-nucleotide small nucleolar RNA is filed under the name Sorex araneus (European shrew). Its description in RNAcentral is "Small nucleolar RNA U13 (ENSSARG00000019731.1)". It matches the Rfam family "Small nucleolar RNA U13". The record is from RNAcentral. Lineage: Eukaryota; Metazoa; Chordata; Mammalia; Eulipotyphla; Soricidae.
AUACUUUUGUGGUUCAUCAGCAUGAAGAAUGGGUGUUUUUGCAUCUGUGACAAGUGUCUCCCUCAACCUUAUAAGGACUUAUGAAUUACUAACA